ACAGAGGCGGCAAGCGUUGUUCGGAUUUACUGGGCGUAAAGGGUGCGUAGGUGGCUAUGUGUGUCGGAUGUGAAAGCUCACAGCUUAACUGUGGAAUGGCAUCCGAAACUACAUGGCUAGAGUACAGGAGAGGAGAGCGGAAUUCUUGGUGUAGCGGUGAAAUGCGUAGAUAUCAAGAGGAACACCGGUGGCGAAGGCGGCUCUCUGGACUGAUACUGACACUGAGGCACUAAAGCUAGGGGAGCAAACAG
RNAcentral lists this ribosomal RNA (251 nucleotides) under uncultured prokaryote. RNAcentral describes it as "partial 16S ribosomal RNA". It matches the Rfam family "Bacterial small subunit ribosomal RNA", at positions 525 to 775 of the family's 1533-position model. The record is from RNAcentral.